CUACGGGUCGCUGCAGUGAGGAAUAUUGCACAAUGGGGGGAACCCUGAUGCAGCAACGCCGCGUGGAGGAUGACGCAUUUCGGUGUGUAAACCCCUUUUAUAUGUCAAGAAAAUGACGGUAGCAUAUGAAUAAACACCGGCUAACUCCGUGCCAGCAGCCGCGGUAAUACGGAGGGUGCAAGCGUUACUCGGAAUCACUGGGCGUAAAGGACGCGUAGGCGGGUUGGAAAGUCAGGUGUGAAAUCCUACAGCUUAACUGUAGAACUGCACUUGAAACUUCUAAUCUAGAGUAUGGGAGGGGGAGAUGGAAUUAGUGGUGUAGGGGUAAAAUCCGUAGAUAUCACUAGGAAUACCUGAAGCGAAGGCGAUCUCCUGGAACAUUACUGACGCUAAGGCGUGAAAGCGUGGGGAGCAAACAGGAUUAGAUACCCGAGUAGUC
Molecule: ribosomal RNA, 439 nt
Filed under: uncultured bacterium
Lineage: Bacteria
Description: partial 16S ribosomal RNA
Rfam family: Bacterial small subunit ribosomal RNA
Source: RNAcentral